Molecule: ribosomal RNA, 466 nt
Filed under: uncultured Corynebacterium sp.
Lineage: Bacteria; Bacillati; Actinomycetota; Actinomycetes; Mycobacteriales; Corynebacteriaceae
Description: bacterial SSU rRNA
Rfam family: Bacterial small subunit ribosomal RNA
Source: RNAcentral
GAGUUUGAUCCUGGCUCAGGACGAACGCUGGCGGCGUGCUUAACACAUGCAAGUCGAACGGAAAGGCCCUGCUUGCAGGGUACUCGAGUGGCGAACGGGUGAGUAACACGUGGGUGAUCUGCCCUGCACUUCGGGAUAAGCCUGGGAAACUGGGUCUAAUACCGGAUAGGACCAUCGUUUAGUGUCGGUGGUGGAAAGUUUUUCGGUGCAGGAUGAGCUCGCGGCCUAUCAGCUUGUUGGUGGGGUAAUGGCCUACCAAGGCGUCGACGGGUAGCCGGCCUGAGAGGGUGGACGGCCACAUUGGGACUGAGACACGGCCCAGACUCCUACGGGAGGCAGCAGUGGGGAAUAUUGCACAAUGGGCGCAAGCCUGAUGCAGCGACGCCGCGUGGGGGAUGAAGGCCUUCGGGUUGUAAACUCCUUUCAACCAUGACGAAGCAUUAUGUGACGGUAGUGAGAAGAGGCC